RNAcentral lists this ribosomal RNA (444 nucleotides) under uncultured bacterium. Its description in RNAcentral is "partial 16S ribosomal RNA". It matches the Rfam family "Bacterial small subunit ribosomal RNA", at positions 338 to 795 of the family's 1533-position model. The record is from RNAcentral.
CCUACGGGGGGCAGCAGUGGGGGAUAUUGGACAAUGGGGGGGCACCCUGAUCCAGCGACGCCGCGUGAGUGAAGAAGUAUUUCGGUAUGUAAAGCUCUGUCAGCAGGGAAGAAAGCACUGACGGUACCUGACCAAGAAGCCCCGGCUAACUACGUGCCAGCAGCCGCGGUAUUACGGAGGGGGCACGCGUUAUCCGGAAUUACUGGGUGUAAAGGGAGAGUAGACGGCGGUGCAAGUCAGGAGUGAAAGGCGGGGGCGCAACCCCCGGAAUGCUCUGGACACUGUAUGGCUGGAGUGCAGGAGAGGUAAGCGGAAUUCCUAGUGUAGCGGUGAAAUGCGUAGAUAUUAGGAGGAACACCAGUGGCGAAGGCGGCUUACUGGACUGUAACUGACGUUGAGGCUCGAAAGCGUGGGGAGCAAACAGGAUUAGAUACCCCAGUAGUC